This 29-nucleotide non-coding RNA is filed under the name Mus musculus (house mouse). The record is from RNAcentral. Lineage: Eukaryota; Metazoa; Chordata; Mammalia; Rodentia; Muridae.
AGCCUAUUCUUUUGGAAUUGGAAGCACCA